UAGCUCAGUUGGUAGAGCAUGGUGUUUGCAACGCCAGGGGUUGUGGGUUCGAUUCCCAC
Molecule: non-coding RNA, 59 nt
Organism: Salmo salar (Atlantic salmon)
Lineage: Eukaryota; Metazoa; Chordata; Actinopteri; Salmoniformes; Salmonidae
Source: Rfam